AAUAGGCUAAUUAAGAGCGUAAGGGGAAUGCCUUGGCUCUCAGAGGCGAAGAAGGACGUGAUAAGCUGCGAAAAGUUGCGGGGAGUGGCACAUACAUUUUGAUCCGCAAAUGUCCGAAUGGGGAAACCCGGUUAUUUGAAGAAUAAUCAUCCAUUUAUGGAAGCUAACCCGGAGAACUGAAACAUCUAAGUACCCGGAGGAAAAGAAAACAAUAGUGAUUCCGCUAGUAGUGGCGAGCGAACGCGGAAUAGCCCAAACCUAAAUUGUUUAGGCAAUUUAGGGGUUGUAGGACCACAAUAUUUGUUGCUCAAUGAAUUAGAAUCCGUUGGAAAUCGGAA
This 338-nucleotide ribosomal RNA is filed under the name uncultured Flavobacteriaceae bacterium. RNAcentral describes it as "bacterial LSU rRNA". It matches the Rfam family "Bacterial large subunit ribosomal RNA", at positions 1 to 354 of the family's 2925-position model. The record is from RNAcentral. Lineage: Bacteria; Pseudomonadati; Bacteroidota; Flavobacteriia; Flavobacteriales; Flavobacteriaceae.